GGGUGUUUAGCUCAGCUGGUUCAGAGCAUCUGCCUUACAAGCAGAGGGUCGGCGGUUCGAAUCCGUCAACACCCACCC
This 78-nucleotide transfer RNA is filed under the name Prevotella sp. CAG:279. RNAcentral describes it as "transfer RNA-Val(TAC)". It matches the Rfam family "tRNA". Rfam says of the family: Transfer RNA (tRNA) molecules are approximately 80 nucleotides in length. Their secondary structure includes four short double-helical elements and three loops (D, anti-codon, and T loops). The record is from RNAcentral. RNAcentral also lists the same sequence under 2 other names. Lineage: Bacteria; Pseudomonadati; Bacteroidota; Bacteroidia; Bacteroidales; Prevotellaceae.